CCUACGGGAGGCUGCAGUGAGGAAUAUUGGUCAAUGGACGAGAGUCUGAACCAGCCAAGUAGCGUGAAGGAUGACUGCCCUAUGGGUUGUAAACUUCUUUUAUAUGGGAAUAAAAUGUUCCACGUGUGGGAUUUUGUAUGUACCAUAUGAAUAAAGAUCGGCUAACUCCGUGCCAGCAGCCGCGGUAAUACGGAGGAUCCGAGCGUUAUCCGGAUUUAUUGGGUUUAAAGGGAGCGUAGGUGGAUUGUUAAGUCAGUUGUGAAAGUUUGCGGCUCAACCGUAAAAUUGCAGUUGAAACUGGCAGUCUUGAGUACAGUAGAGGUGGGCGGAAUUCGUGGUGUAGCGGUGAAAUGCUUAGAUAUCACGAAGAACUCUGAUUGCGAAGGCAGUUCACUGGACUGCAACUGACACUGAGGCUCGAAAGUGUGGGUAUCAAACAGGAUUAGAUACCCGUGUAGUC
RNAcentral lists this ribosomal RNA (460 nucleotides) under uncultured bacterium. RNAcentral describes it as "partial 16S ribosomal RNA". It matches the Rfam family "Bacterial small subunit ribosomal RNA", at positions 338 to 795 of the family's 1533-position model. The record is from RNAcentral.